This 211-nucleotide long non-coding RNA is filed under the name Mytilus galloprovincialis (Mediterranean mussel). Lineage: Eukaryota; Metazoa; Mollusca; Bivalvia; Mytilida; Mytilidae. The record is from RNAcentral.
GUGGUCAUAAACCUUGUGUUUAAAUUUCAUUGAUUUCUAUUUACUUAUACUAAAGUUAUUGUGCGAAAACCAAGAAUAAUGCUUAUUUGGGCCCUUUUUUUGGCCCUAAUUCCUAAACUGUUGGAACCAAAACUCCCAAAAUCAAUCCAAACCUUCCUUUUGUGGUCAUAAACCUUGUGUCAAAAUUUCAUUGAUUUCUAUUUACUUAAAC